ACAAUGGUCUAUAUAUAAGUAGUUACAUUUAUUUUAUGUUUGAAGCGGUGCAAAAUUUAAAAAUUUCAUUUGACUUUUACCAAAAGAUGCAUUGUAGCAAAGGAGAAGAAUAAUUGUGGUCUGAUGCCAGAAACACGAAAAUAAUUGAAUUUAACAGAAAGGAAACAAAUAUCGGACUUUGGAAAAAGGGAGAGGGCUUUUGAUACCUUUUAUGAAAUUCUCCAUACAUAAUAUAUUUUACAAAAAAAUCAUCCUACAACAGUUCACAAGCUGUAUAUGCCCGCGAUUUUGCGGAUGUGUUCUAGUAUA
This 309-nucleotide long non-coding RNA is filed under the name Mytilus galloprovincialis (Mediterranean mussel). The record is from RNAcentral. Lineage: Eukaryota; Metazoa; Mollusca; Bivalvia; Mytilida; Mytilidae.